Molecule: long non-coding RNA, 630 nt
Filed under: Homo sapiens (human)
Lineage: Eukaryota; Metazoa; Chordata; Mammalia; Primates; Hominidae
Description: HSALNT0155681
Source: RNAcentral
GGGGCAUCGAGGGGGACUUCCUUCCUGUUCCCAACCCACCUCCCUGGGGCGCGCAGUUGGCGGAUGUACAUUCAUUCGAGGGACCCAGGCCAGGCGAGAGGGCGGCCAAGGUCUUACAGUCCGUCAGGAGUUUGCCCACGGAGGGGUGGAGGGAGAGUCCCCCUCCAAGUCUUUUCUCAGUAGAUUUGGCUAAGGAAGGAGUAGGUGAGGAGGGUCGAGGCCAAUUAUCAAAAAAUAGCCCUAGGGGCCGGGCGCUUCCGCCUGUAAUCUCAGUACUCUGGGAGGCCGAGGCUGGAGGAUCAAGACCAGCCUGGGCAAAAUGGCGAAAUCCCUCUCUACAAAAAAUACAAACAUUAGCCAGGGUGGUGGCGGGCGUCUGUAGUCCCAGCUACUCGGGAGGCUAAGGCAAGAGGAUCACUUGAGCCCGGGAGGCACAGGCUGCAGUGAGCUGAGAUCGCGCCACUGCACUCCAGCCUGAGCGACAGAGCAAGAGCUGUCAAAAAAAAAAAAGUAAAAAUUUUAAAAAGAAAAGGAGAGGAAAACAGAGCCCUGCUCCCUUAUCCUGCACCUAAAAUGGUCCUGCCCCCAAGAACCCCCUUAACAACCGCUGUAUCCCCCCAUCCCCGCGCC